GAUGAAGAACGUAGCGAAAUGCGAUACGUAGUGUGAAUUGCAGAAUUCAGUGAAUCAUCGAAUCUUUGAACGCACAUUGCACCUCUCGAUAUUCCGGGAGGUAUGCCUGUUCGAGCGUCAUUUGUACCCUCAAGCUCUGCUUGGUGUUGGGUGUUUGUUCCGCCUCUGUGUGUGAACUCGCCUCAAAACAAUUGGCAGCCGGCGUACUUGUUUCGGAGCGCAGCACAUUUUGCGAUCCAGAUCAACGUACAGCGGCAUCCAAGAAGCCUUAUUUAACGCUCUUGACCUCGGAUCAGGUAGGGAUACCCGCUGAACUUAAGCAUAUCAAUAAGCGGAGGA
This 339-nucleotide unclassified non-coding RNA is filed under the name soil metagenome. RNAcentral describes it as "partial contains 5.8S ribosomal RNA, internal transcribed spacer 2, and large subunit ribosomal RNA". The stretch from base 1 to 120 matches the Rfam family "5.8S ribosomal RNA", at positions 35 to 154 of the family's 154-position model. The record is from RNAcentral.